This is a long non-coding RNA of Alexandromys fortis (reed vole), 868 nucleotides long. RefSeq lists it as uncharacterized. The record is from RefSeq and is a predicted model, not a curated record. NCBI's taxonomy places the organism in Eukaryota, Metazoa, Chordata, Mammalia, Rodentia, Cricetidae. The transcript has 3 exons.
CUUUUAGGAAACCCUGACUAGUAAACUCACUGAAGUAUCUCACUGGCCCCUUGAUCUUUCAUGGGCUUGGUCACCUCAGGAAAUGGUCAUGUACUCAGGCAUGAAGUUCCCCUCGGUGCCAGGCCAAAGAUGCGCAUGGACAAGCAUUCCUCGCUGAUGCACACCGUGUGUCUGACAGAGGAGGGAAAGGACUGAGGUUUGGACACAGUGAAGACAGUCUCUUCUACCGUGUUGAAUGUUAGUAAAUGGCAUACCCGGGAUUCUUCUCGUUGGUAGAUAUUUGGGGGACCUCGGAGGAUGCUUGAAGAGCUCUGUGCUCCUGGACCUGACUCUGCCCUGCCGACUCUGUGUUUGAUUUGGGCAGACUCCCCCUGCUCUUUCACACAUGGCUGGUCUGGUGAAAGUCUCAUGUGAGCUCAGGGAAGACAUUCCCGAGCCUGUCGGAUGGACAUUUUCAUGAAUAUGAAUACCGCAGAGGGUGCUUCCGCUUGCGGUGGGAGCUUCAGCUCUUGCUGCCGCUACUACAAUCUUCAGCACGCCCUCUGAGUUCCCCAUUUUCCUCCCCGCUUCCUCAGCUGCUGGCAUCCCACAGCUCUGCUUGGGAACUUAGGCUCCCUAUUAACAAGACGGAUAUGCUCCAUCCAUUGUUCUUUUUUUGCAACUAAAAUGACUCACUUUUGUCCCUUACAACAGAUUCGCUUUGAAUCUCAUCUUUUCCCUUCUGAUAUUGAAGUUGUUGGGUUUUACUUUUGUUCCUGAUUUGCAAACACCCCGCCCUCCCCCCGUUUAUUUUGUUUUCAUGUCUCUGGAAUCCGGACUGCUAGAUUCCUUUCUGUUUUGAACCUUUUGAAGAUGGUUUGUCUUUUGU